AUGCAAUCCACCUGUAACAGGGGGAUAACCCGGAGAAAUCCGGACUAAUACCCCAUAAUAUGGGCGCUCCGCAUGGAGAGUCCAUUAAAGAGAGCAAUUUUGGUUACAGACGAGCAUGCGCUCCAUUAGCCAGUUGGCGGGGUAACGGCCCACCAAAGCGACGAUGGAUAGGGGUUCUGAGAGGAAGGUCCCCCACAUCGGAACUGAGACACGGUCCAAACUCCUACGGGAGGCAGCAGUGAGGAAUAUUGGUCAAUGGUCGGCAGACUGAACCAGCCAAGUCGCGUGAGGGAAGACGGCCCUACGGGUUGUAAACCUCUUUUGUCGGAGAGUAAAGUACGCUACGUGUAGCGUAUUGCAAGUAUCCGAAGAAAAAGCAUCGGCUAACUCCGUGCCAGCAGCCGCGGUAAUACGGAGGAUGCGAGCGUUAUCCGGAUUUAUUGGGUUUAAAGGGUGCGUAGGCGGCACGCCAAGUCAGCGGUGAAAUUUUCGGGCUCAACCCGGACUGUGCCGUUGAAACUGGCGAGCUAGAGUGCACAAGAGGCAGGCGGAAUGCGUGGUGUAGCGGUGAAAUGCAUAGAUAUCACGCAGAACCCCGAUUGCGAAGGCAGCCUGCUAGGGUGCGACAGACGCUGAGGCACGAAAGCGUGGGUAUCGAACAGGAUUAGAUACCCUGGUAGUCCACGCAGUAAACGAUGAAUACUAACUGUUUGCGAUACAAUGUAAGCGGUACAGCGAAAGCGUUAAGUAUUCCACCUGGGGAGUACGCCGGCAACGGUGAAACUCAAAGGAAUUGACGGGGG
RNAcentral lists this ribosomal RNA (803 nucleotides) under uncultured bacterium. RNAcentral describes it as "bacterial SSU rRNA". It matches the Rfam family "Bacterial small subunit ribosomal RNA", at positions 119 to 919 of the family's 1533-position model. The record is from RNAcentral.